This 234-nucleotide ribosomal RNA is filed under the name Shigella flexneri. Its description in RNAcentral is "partial 16S ribosomal RNA". It matches the Rfam family "Bacterial small subunit ribosomal RNA", at positions 1 to 231 of the family's 1533-position model. The record is from RNAcentral. Lineage: Bacteria; Pseudomonadati; Pseudomonadota; Gammaproteobacteria; Enterobacterales; Enterobacteriaceae.
AAAUUGAAGAGUUUGAUCAUGGCUCAGAUUGAACGCUGGCGGCAGGCCUAACACAUGCAAGUCGGACGGUAACAGGAAGCAGCUUGCUGCUUCGCUGACGAGUGGCGGACGGGUGAGUAAUGUCUGGGAAACUGCCUGAUGGAGGGGGAUAACUACUGGAAACGGUAGCUAAUACCGCAUAACGUCGCAAGACCAAAGAGGGGGACCUUCGGGCCUCUUGCCAUCGGAUGUGCC